Molecule: ribosomal RNA, 253 nt
Filed under: uncultured bacterium
Lineage: Bacteria
Description: partial 16S ribosomal RNA
Rfam family: Bacterial small subunit ribosomal RNA
Source: RNAcentral
UACGAAGGGGGCUAGCGUUGCUCGGAAUUACUGGGCGUAAAGCGUGCGUAGGUGGUUUGUUAAGUCUGUUGUGAAAGCCCCGGGCUCAACCUGGGAAUGGCAAUGGAUACUGGCAGGCUAGAGUGCGGUAGAGGGUAGUGGAAUUCCCGGUGUAGCGGUGAAAUGCGUAGAGAUCGGGAGGAACACCAGUGGCGAAGGCAGCUGGCUACAGGGAUAUUGACACUGAGGCACGAAAGCGUGGGGAUCAAACAGG